Molecule: transfer RNA, 75 nt
Filed under: Escherichia phage phi92
Lineage: Duplodnaviria; Heunggongvirae; Uroviricota; Caudoviricetes
Description: Enterobacteria phage phi92 transfer RNA-Gln
Rfam family: tRNA
About the family: Transfer RNA (tRNA) molecules are approximately 80 nucleotides in length.
Source: RNAcentral
UGGAGAUUGGCCUAGUGGGAAGGCAACGGCCUUUGAAGUCGUGAUGACUAGGUUCGAUUCCUAGAUCUCCAGCCA